This 71-nucleotide transfer RNA is filed under the name Pseudocohnilembus persalinus. RNAcentral describes it as "tRNA-Glu". It matches the Rfam family "tRNA". From Rfam's summary of the family: Transfer RNA (tRNA) molecules are approximately 80 nucleotides in length. The record is from RNAcentral. Lineage: Eukaryota; Ciliophora; Oligohymenophorea; Philasterida; Pseudocohnilembidae.
ACUCUUAUAGUCUAGUGGUAGGAUAGUGGAUUUUCGUUCCAUUGGUCUAGGUUCGAUUCCUAGUGAGAGUA